This is a long non-coding RNA of Phyllopteryx taeniolatus (common seadragon), 626 nucleotides long. RefSeq lists it as uncharacterized. Lineage: Eukaryota; Metazoa; Chordata; Actinopteri; Syngnathiformes; Syngnathidae. The transcript is spliced from 3 exons. The record is from RefSeq and is a predicted model, not a curated record.
GUUUUCGAUCGAAGAAGUCGACCAUGCAGCUCCGAUCACUUUCCCUAUCCACGAUUGGUCGGUGGGGCCUCAACGAAUAGCUGCCGGCAUCCAGGACAGAUCCCGCACGCCUCUGAGGGCCAGAGCUCGGCCCGCCACCAGGUCAACCGGCAGAGAAGUUAUGAGCGCAUCCCAAACGGGACCACAACUUUCCUUUCCUAUUUCUUUUUAUUUUUGUGCAUCUGGUUUUUCUUCAACCGAACCUUCUUCCUUUCCGCCUGAGCUCUGGAGGAAGACCACACCAAAGACCAGCUGAUCUGCGUUUGUAGGACAUGCCCGGAAGACCUAACCAGGGAGGCGUCCGGGGGGGGUAUCCUAAUCAGAUGCCCCAGCCACCUCAUCUGGCUUCUCUCAAUGUGGAGGAGCAGCGGCUCUACUCUGAGCCCCUCCCGGAUGACCAAGCUUCGUACACUCUAAGGGAGAGCCCAGACGUCCUGCAAAGGAAACUGUUUUCGACAACCCACAGCUCGUAUCUCAUAGAAAAUCCUAGAAGAGAAUGUUCAGCCAUCACUGUGUGACCUCAAGUUGAAGCACACGGGUUCUGCAACAGGAUAACGAUCAAAAACACACCAGCAAGUCAACGUCUG